This is a long non-coding RNA of Bombina bombina (fire-bellied toad), 245 nucleotides long. RefSeq lists it as uncharacterized. The transcript is spliced from 4 exons. NCBI's taxonomy places the organism in Eukaryota, Metazoa, Chordata, Amphibia, Anura, Bombinatoridae. The record is from RefSeq and is a predicted model, not a curated record.
CUUCUAGUCACUAUCCUCAACAGGACUUUCAUGAAGGCUUCCCUCCUUGGGGGUUAAGAUCUGAAGUUAGUCAAGAAUGGACUUCAAGUGAUGGAUGAAUUUGCUGUGUCCCUGCUAAGUUGCAGUCUCGGGCGUCCGAUAGGGGAAGAUCAUGGUGGUGCUAUAGCUUCAGAAGUGCCCAGUGUCUCAUACUGAGAAAAGCAGACCUGGGUGUUAAUGCAAUGCAAUGCAAUACAAAACAUGAG